This is an RNA transcript of Syzygium oleosum, 1921 nucleotides long. It is a transcript of the gene named reticulon-like protein B17, with no coding region annotated. NCBI's taxonomy places the organism in Eukaryota, Viridiplantae, Streptophyta, Magnoliopsida, Myrtales, Myrtaceae. The record is from RefSeq and is a predicted model, not a curated record. The transcript has 9 exons.
AAAACCAACUCCCCCCCAUCAAUCUUCCCCAUCUUCAUCACUUCGUGAAUUUCGAUUCCUUCCUCUGUCUCUGCCUCUCUCUCGCUAGCAACUCGCUCUUGAUACCCACAAUUCAAGAAACCAUGGACACGACCCCGCUCUCGCACCGGUCCCGGGCCAAGUCCUCCGUGUCGCGCCUCGCCCGGGCCGUCGUCGACUCGAGCAUCGACACCGACGGGUCCCUGAACCUGUCGUCCCUCGACCUGGUCCCUUCGUCCCCCAGGAAGACCCCUUCGCCAUCCCCUCUCUCCCUGAGAUCCUCCAACAACUCCCUCCCCCUCCAGGAGCUCCUGCUGCUCUCCCCUUCGCCUUACAAGCGGUCCAAGACCCGCCUCGCCGAUAGGCUCGAGGCGGCCGACGAUCCCGCGGAGGGGCGCGGGGGCGGCGGGGCGGCGGGGGCGGCGGCGGGGGGCUCGCUGCGCAAGCGGUGCAAGAGGAGGGAGGGGCAGGCGGGACUUCUGGGGUGCGCCUCGCCGAGGGGCAACCGGCGGUCGCGGAGGCGAGCCGAGGCGGAGGUUAGGGAGGAGCGGGAUCUGGGGCUGAUCGAGGAGGCCGUGAAGCAGAGGAGGAAGCACGGCGGGAGGUCGAGGAAGGAGAGGCUUGCCCUGGUGCCUCUCGUGAACACCUCUUCUAGUUUGUCUCUGAACGUAGAAACUGAUGAUGGGGACAAUGGGAAUUUGGACCGAAUUGGACAGGCUAUUACUGACUUGAUAAUGUGGAGAGAUGCGGCGAAAUCGACACUUUGGUUUGGUCUAGGGUCUCUCUGCUUCUUAUCUUCUUGCUUUGCUCAAGGAAUCAGCUUCAGCAUUUUCUCUGCAAUUUGCCAACUGGGACUUCUCUUUUUGGGGUUAUCUUUCUUCUCCAAUUCCAUCUGUCAAAGGAAUAAUGUUGAGAAGAGGCGCGAUUUCCAGUUAAAAGAAGAUGACAUCUUGAGAGUGGCUAGAUUGAUACUUCCCGCUACUAAUCUUGCAAUUUCGAAGACGAGAGAGCUUUUCUCUGGGGAGCCGUCCAUGACCCUUAAAGUAGCUCCAUUUCUCCUUCUUGGAGCUGAAUAUGGCCAUCUCAUCACGCUUUGGAGGCUAUGUGCAAUUGGGUUCUUCAUCAGCUUCACCGGCCCGAAACUAUACUCCCGCUACUCAGCUCGGAUAAGCCAAAGAGUGGAGCGCUCCAAAUGGUGGGUUCUUGAAACAUGGGGUGCUUGCUCCCACAAGAAAAUCGUAGCUGCAUCAGCAAUCAUGGCCUUCUGGAAUCUGACAACAAUAAAGACUCGCUUGCUCUCAGCGUUCAUAUCUGUUGUGAUUCUGCGUUAUCGCCGACAACAUUCGGAAGCAAAUCUUGAAGUAGCUGCAGAAGCAGAAAGGGAAGAUUCAGCAGAGAAGCGGCCUCAAAAGGCUCUAGUCGUCUCGGAAAAGGUGUCCUGCGACUAGUGCCAAGGCUUUAUCAGCCACAUGUGAGACAUUCGUGUUGUGCUGUCCAGAAGCAUUGUAGAUCUCGCAAUGCGGAAAAUAGGCUCUCUCUCCCGCCUUCGGUGAAUAAUCAAUCCAAUUUGCGUGUAAAACUAACAUGUUUCCUGUACAAUAAGAGGUUUUCUUUGUAAAACCGCCUCUUUCGUUGUAGUAAUGUUGUCGACUACACUUGAAGUCGAACUAUCAUGGUUUUCAAAUAUGACCUGACAGGAAUCGAUGGUCAGUUACUGACUCGAGAAGGUCGAGCCCGAUCCCUUACGAAUUCUGCUUGCGAAGCCCCGUGAGACUUCAUGUUCAUGUGUAAUUGUUUAGCUGCCCAAAUGGGCAUGGCUUGGAAAGAGAAACACAGCCUAAAGCUAGCCCAACUCCAACUCCGCCACACGUUUAUCUUCAAUGGUGGUAGAGUCUUGUGCCAA